This 497-nucleotide ribosomal RNA is filed under the name uncultured bacterium. Its description in RNAcentral is "partial 16S ribosomal RNA". It matches the Rfam family "Bacterial small subunit ribosomal RNA", at positions 28 to 507 of the family's 1533-position model. The record is from RNAcentral.
GAUGAACGCUGGCGGUGUGCCUAAUACAUGCAAGUCGAGCGAACAGACGAGGAGCUUACUCCUCUGACGUUAGCGGCGGACGGGUGAGUAACACGUGGAUAACCUACCUAUAAGACUGGGAUAACUUCGGGAAACCGGAGCUAAUACCGGAUAACAUGUUGAACCGCAUGGUUCAACAGUGAAAGACGGUCUUGCUGUCACUUAUAGAUGGAUCCGCGUCGCAUUAGCUAGUUGGUAAGGUAACGGCUUACCACGGCAACGAUGCGUAGCCGACCUGAGAGGGUGAUCGGCCACACUGGAACUGAGACACGGUCCAGACUCCUACGGGAGGCAGCAGUAGGGAAUCUUCCGCAAUGGGCGAAAGCCUGACGGAGCAACGCCGCGUGAGUGAAGAAGGUCUUCGGAUCGUAAAACUCUGUUAUUAGGGAAGAACAAAUGUGUAAGUAACUAUGCACGUCUUGACGGUACCUAAUCAGAAAGCCACGGCUAACUACGUG